Molecule: transfer RNA, 72 nt
Filed under: Peniophora lycii
Lineage: Eukaryota; Fungi; Basidiomycota; Agaricomycetes; Russulales; Peniophoraceae
Description: tRNA-Lys
Rfam family: tRNA
About the family: Transfer RNA (tRNA) molecules are approximately 80 nucleotides in length. Their secondary structure includes four short double-helical elements and three loops (D, anti-codon, and T loops).
Source: RNAcentral
GAAAGCAGAACUCGAGUGGUUGAGUGUCUCCCUUUUAAGGAGAAAGUUCUGGUUCAAGUCCAGGUGCUUUUA